This 440-nucleotide ribosomal RNA is filed under the name uncultured bacterium. RNAcentral describes it as "bacterial SSU rRNA". It matches the Rfam family "Bacterial small subunit ribosomal RNA", at positions 338 to 776 of the family's 1533-position model. The record is from RNAcentral.
CCUACGGGUGGCAGCAGUGGGGAAUAUUGGACAAUGGGCGGAAGCCUGAUCCAGCAACGCCGCGUGAGGGAUGACGGCCUUCGGGUUGUAAACCUCUUUCAUCACCGACGAAGCCGCGCCUUUUGGGGUGUGGUGACGGUAGGUGGAGAAGAAGCACCGGCCAACUACGUGCCAGCAGCCGCGGUAAUACGUAGGGUGCGAGCGUUGUCCGGAAUUAUUGGGCGUAAAGGGCUCGUAGGCGGUUUGUCGCGUCGGGAGUGAAAACCGGGUGCUUAACACCUGGCUUGCUUUCGAUACGGGCAGACUGGAGGUAUGCAGGGGAGAACGGAAUUCCUGGUGUAGCGGUGAAAUGCGCAGAUAUCAGGAGGAACACCGGUGGCGAAGGCGGUUCUCUGGGCAUGUCCUGACGCUGAGGAGCGAAAGUGUGGGGAGCGAACAGG